RNAcentral lists this ribosomal RNA (524 nucleotides) under uncultured Alphaproteobacteria bacterium. RNAcentral describes it as "bacterial SSU rRNA". It matches the Rfam family "Bacterial small subunit ribosomal RNA", at positions 123 to 688 of the family's 1533-position model. Lineage: Bacteria; Pseudomonadati; Pseudomonadota; Alphaproteobacteria. The record is from RNAcentral.
AAACUACCCUUUGGUGCGGAAUAACACAGAGAAAUUUGUGCUAAUACCGCAUAAGCUCUUNGGAGGAAAGAUUUAUCGCCAAAGGAUGUGCCCGCGUCCGAUUAGCUAGUUGGUGAGGUAACGGCUCACCAAGGCGACGAUCGGUAGCUGGUCUGAGAGGAUGAUCAGCCACACUGGGACUGAGACACGGCCCAGACUCCUACGGGAGGCAGCAGUGGGGAAUAUUGGACAAUGGGCGCAAGCCUGAUCCAGCCAUGCCGCGUGAGUGAUGAAGGCCUUAGGGUUGUAAAGCUCUUUCGCCCGCGAGGAUAAUGACGGUACCGGGAUAANAAGCCCCGGCUAACUUCGUGCCAGCAGCCGCGGUAAUACGAAGGGGGCUAGCGUUGUUCGGAAUCACUGGGCGUAAAGCGCACGUAGGCGGACUUUUAAGUCAGAGGUGAAAGCCUGGAGCUCAACUUCAGAACUGCCUUUGANACUGGAANUCUUGACGUUNCGUAGAGCACGAUUAAGAUAGACCUGGUANU